This 440-nucleotide ribosomal RNA is filed under the name uncultured bacterium. RNAcentral's name for it is "partial 16S ribosomal RNA". It matches the Rfam family "Bacterial small subunit ribosomal RNA", at positions 338 to 795 of the family's 1533-position model. The record is from RNAcentral.
CCUACGGGAGGCUGCAGUGGGGAAUAUUGCACAAUGGGGGAAACCCUGAUGCAGCGACGCCGCGUGAGGGAAGAAGGACUUCGUUAUGUAAAGCUCUAUCAGCAGGGAAGAAAAUGACGGUACCUGAGUAAGAACCCCCGGCUAACUACGUGCCAGACGCCGCGGUAAUACGUAGGGGGCAAGCGUUAUCCGGAUUUACUGGGUGUAAAGGGGGCGUAGACGGCAGUGCAAGUCUGGAGUGAAAGGCGGGGGCUCAACCCCCGGACGGCUCUGGAAACUGUACGGCUGGAGUGCAGGAGAGGUAAGUGGAAUUCCUAGUGUAGCGGUGAAAUGCGUAGAUAUUAGGAGGAACACCAGUGGCGAAGGCGGCUUACCGGACUGUAACUGACGUUGAGGCUCGAAAGCGUGGGGAGCAAACAGGAUUAGAUACCCGAGUAGUC